UACGGAGGGUGCAAGCGUUAUCCGGAUUCACUGGGUUUAAAGGGUGCGUAGGCGGGCAGGUAAGUCCGUGGUGAAAUCUCUGAGCUUAACUCAGAAACUGCCAUGGAUACUAUUUGUCUUGAAUAUUGUGGAAGUAAGCGGAAUAUGUCAUGUAGCGGUGAAAUGCUUAGAUAUGACAUAGAACACCAAUUGCGAAGGCAGCUUACUACACAGUUAUUGACGCUGAGGCACGAAAGCGUGGGGAUCAAACAGG
RNAcentral lists this ribosomal RNA (253 nucleotides) under uncultured bacterium. RNAcentral describes it as "partial 16S ribosomal RNA". It matches the Rfam family "Bacterial small subunit ribosomal RNA", at positions 524 to 776 of the family's 1533-position model. The record is from RNAcentral.